AUAGUGCGCAUGCUUGAGCCCACUUACCUAACACCUGAGAUCUUAUUGGGACGCUGCUGAUAACCAGUUUCAGAGACAGGGUUUUACCAUGUUGUACAGGCUAGUCUCCAACCCCUGGGCUUAAGCAAUCCUUCUGCCUCGGCCUCCCAAAGUGCUGGGAUUACAGAUACUACAGUCUAACCAAGUUAACGUAACGUUACUUUCUCAAUGAUCACAGUGAUACUGGGAGUUGACGAGGCUUGUAACAAUCUACUGGGAUGAUGUGAGCCUUUAUUAACCUCAUCAGAGAUGCUCAAGCACUGAAUUGUCUUAAGAAAACAAGUAAGGUUUUGUCACCUAUCCUAUUUCUCACUGCAAGUUGAAAAAAAUCAAAUCCAAACACCACCACCCCUUCUAUGACAACAAACGGCUGUGGAG
RNAcentral lists this non-coding RNA (417 nucleotides) under Pan troglodytes (chimpanzee). The record is from RNAcentral. Lineage: Eukaryota; Metazoa; Chordata; Mammalia; Primates; Hominidae.